GCGGAUGUGGCGGAAUUGGCAGACGCACCAGAUUUAGGCUCUGGCGAGUAACAUCGUGGGGGUUCAAGUCCCUUCAUCCGCA
This 82-nucleotide transfer RNA is filed under the name Carnobacteriaceae bacterium zg-C25. It matches the Rfam family "tRNA". Rfam says of the family: Transfer RNA (tRNA) molecules are approximately 80 nucleotides in length. Their secondary structure includes four short double-helical elements and three loops (D, anti-codon, and T loops). RNAcentral also lists the same sequence under 3 other names. The record is from Rfam by way of RNAcentral. Lineage: Bacteria; Bacillati; Bacillota; Bacilli; Lactobacillales; Carnobacteriaceae.